This 21-nucleotide non-coding RNA is filed under the name Caenorhabditis elegans. Lineage: Eukaryota; Metazoa; Nematoda; Chromadorea; Rhabditida; Rhabditidae. The record is from RNAcentral.
UUAUCAGGUUCUGUGGAAAAA